Molecule: ribosomal RNA, 492 nt
Filed under: uncultured bacterium
Lineage: Bacteria
Description: partial 16S ribosomal RNA
Rfam family: Bacterial small subunit ribosomal RNA
Source: RNAcentral
AGUGAACGCUGGCGGUAGGCCUAACACAUGCAAGUCGAACGGCAGCACAGUAAGAGCUUGCUCUUACGGGUGGCGAGUGGCGGACGGGUGAGGAAUACAUCGGAAUCUACUUUUUCGUGGGGGAUAACGUAGGGAAACUUACGCUAAUACCGCAUACGACCUACGGGUGAAAGCAGGGGAUCUUCGGACCUUGCGCGAUUGUAUGAGCCGAUGUCGGAUUAGCUAGUUGGCGGGGUAAAGGCCCACCAAGGCGACGAUCCGUAGCUGGUCUGAGAGGAUGAUCAGCCACACUGGAACUGAGACACGGUCCAGACUCCUACGGGAGGCAGCAGUGGGGAAUAUUGGACAAAGGGCGCAAGCCUGAUCCAGCCAUACCGCGUGGGUGAAGAAGGCCUUCGGGUUGUAAAGCCCUUUUGUUGGGAAAGAAAAGCAGCAGGUUAAUACCCCGCUGUCCUGACGGUACCCAAAGAAGAAGCACCGGCUAACUUCGUG